GCCGGGCGUGGUGGCGCGAGCCUUUAGGAGGCUGAGGUGGGAGGAUCGCUUGAGCCCAGGAGUUCUGGGCUGUAGUGCGCUAUGCCGAUCAGGUGUCUGCACUAAGUUCUGCAUCAAUAUGGUGACCUCCCAGGAGCAGGGGACCACCAGGUUGCCUAAGGAGGGGUGAACUGGCCUAGGUCAGAAACAGAGCAGGUCAAAACUCCCAUGCUGAUCAGUAGUGGGAUCGCGCCUGUGAAUAGCCACUGCACUCCAGCCUGGGUAACAUAGUGAGACCCCAUCUCU
Molecule: signal recognition particle RNA, 285 nt
Filed under: Aotus nancymaae (Ma's night monkey)
Lineage: Eukaryota; Metazoa; Chordata; Mammalia; Primates; Aotidae
Description: Metazoan signal recognition particle RNA (ENSANAG00000010381.1)
Rfam family: Metazoan signal recognition particle RNA
About the family: The signal recognition particle (SRP) is a universally conserved ribonucleoprotein. It is involved in the co-translational targeting of proteins to membranes. The eukaryotic SRP consists of a 300-nucleotide 7S RNA and six proteins: SRPs 72, 68, 54, 19, 14, and 9.
Source: RNAcentral